Small nuclear RNA from Eptesicus fuscus (big brown bat), 110 nucleotides. Lineage: Eukaryota; Metazoa; Chordata; Mammalia; Chiroptera; Vespertilionidae. The record is from RefSeq and is a predicted model, not a curated record.
GUACUGCUUGUUUCGGCAGUACAUACACUAAAAUUGGAACAAUACAGAGAAUAUUAGCAUGGCCCCUGUGCAAGGAUGACACCCAAAUUCAUGAAGUGUUCAUAUUUUUA